This is a long non-coding RNA of Eucalyptus grandis, 601 nucleotides long. RefSeq lists it as uncharacterized. The record is from RefSeq and is a predicted model, not a curated record. The transcript has 4 exons. NCBI's taxonomy places the organism in Eukaryota, Viridiplantae, Streptophyta, Magnoliopsida, Myrtales, Myrtaceae.
UCUCUCCCCUAUUCUCCCGGCUCCCUCUCUCUUUUGCGCCCGACUCUCUCUCCCUCCGACCCCUCGUCCGACGCACCAUAAUGCCCAACCAACGGACCAUUGUGCAGCCCCUCCGGCUUCGGCAGAAGGCUUGGUGAUGCACGAUCUCAACUCUGCCCUCUCUCUACUUUCGAGUCACGACCGAGCCCUAACCGCGUGGCCUCCAUCUCCGCCUUCAUCAAAUCGCGACGAAUUCAGAGAUUUACAUUCACGACGCUGCCUCGUUGCCUCCACCUCGGCCUCGAAAGGCACGAUUAGGGUUACGAGGCUCCUGAGCUGAGAGCAUGCAUUUGAAAGGUCUACCUCUCGGUUCACCUUUGGGGUAAAGGCAUGUCGGCCACUGGGGCUGCAGGAUUUUGUUGGGGAGGAAAGGCACUAGCGAAAUUAGCAGGCAUUGAAGACAUUCGAGCAGUAGUUAUUCAGCACCCUGGUCGUAUGAUUGAAGAUGAAAUCGAAGGUAAAAUUAUGCCAGUGAACAUGGAAUUAUGUGAAAAUGUUCUCGUCAGUUAUUCCUCUCUCUAGUUAUUUCUACACUUCCAUUAAUUCAGAGACCUUGAUUUUG